GGAGAGGUGCGAGAGUGGUUGAAUCGGGCAGUCUCGAAAACUGCUGACCGCUUAUGUGGUCCGUGAGUUCGAAUCUCACCCUCUCCG
RNAcentral lists this transfer RNA (87 nucleotides) under Ignavibacteriales bacterium. RNAcentral's name for it is "tRNA-Ser". It matches the Rfam family "tRNA". Rfam says of the family: Transfer RNA (tRNA) molecules are approximately 80 nucleotides in length. Their secondary structure includes four short double-helical elements and three loops (D, anti-codon, and T loops). Lineage: Bacteria; Pseudomonadati; Ignavibacteriota; Ignavibacteria; Ignavibacteriales. The record is from RNAcentral.